Molecule: long non-coding RNA, 404 nt
Filed under: Panax ginseng (ginseng)
Lineage: Eukaryota; Viridiplantae; Streptophyta; Magnoliopsida; Apiales; Araliaceae
Description: long non-coding RNA (PGIN_LNC018389)
Source: RNAcentral
UAAUGGUACCCACCAAACUCUAUGCCUCUAAGUCCUCAAUCCUAUUGAGAUAACUUAGUUAAGUCAGGCCCAAUGAUUUUAACAGUUUGGAUAUCACAAUUAUCCUAUCGUAUCUUACCAAGAUAAAUAGGGUACUUUGUUUUGGCAAACCUACAUCUAUUGAUCAAAGUCUUGAUGAGUGUUUUUCAUUGGAAGGCAUCUGAUUUAGACUUAAUAAUUUAAUGAGGGAUUUUAUUAAUUAAUUCAGAUCUCACCAAUUUUAAUCUCAUUAAACAUGCACAUUAUUUAUCACAUCAUAUCACAUACAAGCAUAAAUAAAGUGCAAAAUUAAAUGUGUCACAGUUAUGGCCCAAUCCACUGUCAAUCUUUUCAAGCUAAUGAAAGAUUGAAGGUCAAUCUAAGGU